UACGUAGGGUCCGAGCGUUGUCCGGAUUUAUUGGGCGUAAAGAGCUCGUAGGCGGUUCGAUAAGUCGGACGUGAAAUCUCCACGCUCAACGUGGAGGGGCCGUUCGAUACUGUCGUGACUCGAGUCCGGUAGGGGAGUGUGGAAUUCCCGGUGUAGCGGUGAAAUGCGCAGAGAUCGGGAGGAACACCCGUAGCGAAGGCGGCACUCUGGGCCGGUACUGACGCUGAGGAGCGAAAGCGUGGGGAGCAAACAGGG
RNAcentral lists this ribosomal RNA (255 nucleotides) under uncultured bacterium. Its description in RNAcentral is "partial 16S ribosomal RNA". It matches the Rfam family "Bacterial small subunit ribosomal RNA", at positions 524 to 777 of the family's 1533-position model. The record is from RNAcentral.